RNAcentral lists this ribosomal RNA (402 nucleotides) under Bacteroidota bacterium. Its description in RNAcentral is "Bacteroidetes bacterium partial 16S ribosomal RNA". It matches the Rfam family "Bacterial small subunit ribosomal RNA", at positions 355 to 776 of the family's 1533-position model. The record is from RNAcentral. Lineage: Bacteria; Pseudomonadati; Bacteroidota.
UGGGGAAUUUUGCACAAUGGGGGAAACCCUGAUGCAGCGACGCCGCGUGAUUUAGAAGGCCUUCGGGUUGUAAAAAUCUUUUCUAUGGGAAGAAAAUGACAGUACCAUAGGAAUAAGGACCGGCUAAUUACGUGCCAGCAGCCGCGGUAAUACGUAAGGUCCGAGCGUUGUCCGGAAUCAUUGGGCGUAAAGGGUACGUAGGUGGGUAAGCAAGUUAGAAGUGAAAUCCUGUAGCUCAACUACAGUAAGCUUUUAAAACUGCUCAUCUUGAGAUAUGGAAGGGAAAGUAGAAUUCCUAGUGUAGCGGUGAAAUGCGCAGAUAUUAGGAGGAAUACCGGUGGCGAAGGCGACUUUCUGGCCAUAAUCUGACGCUGAGGUACGAAAGCGUGGGUAGCAAACAGG